UUAUCGUUGCACGGACAAGAGAAAACGCAGGAAAUCGGUCGUUGCGGUUUUAUUCUCAUCGUCCUCGAUCGACAAAUCCAAAUUUUACCGAAAGCCGGUGUUUAAGAUAAUAAGGACAAUUUUUUUUAAGAGAGUGUAAUUAGCGGUAACGGGAGUGGGAAACGUUAAUUAGCCUCGGUAGAGGUGCAAACCGUUAUUAACGAAUACUCUUAUGUAGAAUACACAUACAAAUGAAUGCGGUUCAUACGUGUGCGCGCGUCGAUGAAUUAUCGUACCUGUAAUUACGUAGUUGAAACCCAUGGUUUGUGUGUGUACAAUCGUGCUAUCGAGCGAUAUUCUAAAAGCGGUAAAACGGGUUAAAUUCCUCGCAGGCUUCGAGAAAUAAUUUAAUUACACCCGACUAACGAUAAUUGCCGGAACGAUAAUUCGAUGUUAACCCGCACCGAACUGAGCGUACAUUUCCUGCGCGGCACUGUUGCUUUCUUAUUUCACGCAUACGCGACUUGUCGGCCGAUGUUGCCGAGUUUCAAUUACCGACAAAUAAAAAGUUGCUACUUGACUUAUAAAUCAUCGCUACGUUAUUAUGAUUAUCUUCUAAUUUAUGAAACUGUUCAGUUUUCUCUUCCAAUUUCUAUUCAUUGAUCGAUGUCUUAAACGACUAUAUUUUUCGUUCGUCACUUUUCGUUCUUUCAUCGGAUAGAGCAUCUCAAAUGGUAAACGGGAACACCGAAAGGAGAUCCACGCACUGAUCCCUGCUGUUUCUCUCUCCUAGCUCGUUCUUCUUAUUCUUCGUAAUAAUAAUUACCAACACAUCGAUGCCGCACACCGAAGUAUGAACACAGCAGCAAAGGAACAGCUAUCUAAAAGCCUUGUUCAAUCAGCAAACGGAAAAAGAAGUUUUGGGAAUUGUGGCGCGUAUAAAGCAUCGAGGCGCUAACCGAUGCUCGGCGCAGGUACUCUCGUACGUCUUCGGGGACGGUGAGGAUCAGGGUCGUUAACACUGGUUCGCGGCGGGUACAUCGACGUCCGACGGGGGUCGGCACCUUCUUUUUUCGAUUCUACAUACGUACCGACGGAUAUACACAUUGAUUGCAUUUUUGCGUCCGUGCCGGGUAAUAAUGCUAAUUUGCUCUACAUUCAAUGUUUCUCGGGCGAUGGAUGUUGGUGGGGUGGACCGUCGAAAACUUUCUGAAAACCUUUAUAAUGGUUCCGAUAAAAAGCACCCCUGCGGGACACAUAUGCUACAGUGGUUUUUCUUUCAAACCACAAGUCCGUUCAAUCUCCUAUUUGAUUCUAACGACAGGUAAUCGAUAACUACGAUUGGCGCUUAUCAUUCGAUUGCUACAAAUCCUGUAAUAAAUAUUAUUUAUUUUUCGCAAUUUUUUGGUGACAACAAUGACUAAAAGAUAUUUAAUAUUUAAUUAUUAUAAAGAAUAAUUAUUUUGUCUAUGUAGAUAAUGUAAAAUAAUUUCACAUAAUAAAUAAAUAUUAAGAUACAAGAAAGAAAA
Apis cerana (Asiatic honeybee) is the source of this 1508-nucleotide long non-coding RNA. RefSeq lists it as uncharacterized. The record is from RefSeq and is a predicted model, not a curated record. Lineage: Eukaryota; Metazoa; Arthropoda; Insecta; Hymenoptera; Apidae.